RNAcentral lists this ribosomal RNA (500 nucleotides) under uncultured bacterium. RNAcentral's name for it is "bacterial SSU rRNA". It matches the Rfam family "Bacterial small subunit ribosomal RNA", at positions 28 to 507 of the family's 1533-position model. The record is from RNAcentral.
GACGAACGCUGGCGGCGUGCCUAAUACAUGCAAGUCGAGCGGAAUGAUGAAGAAGCUUGCUUCUUCUGAUUUUAGCGGCGGACGGGUGAGUAACACGUGGGCAACCUACCUUGUAGAUUGGGAUAACUCCGGGAAACCGGGGCUAAUACCGAAUAAUCCAUUUUGCUUCAUGGCGAGAUGUUGAAAGACGGUUUCGGCUGUCACUAUAAGAUGGGCCCGCGGCGCAUUAGCUAGUUGGUGGGGUAAUGGCCUACCAAGGCGACGAUGCGUAGCCGACCUGAGAGGGUGAUCGGCCACACUGGGACUGAGACACGGCCCAGACUCCUACGGGAGGCAGCAGUAGGGAAUCUUCCACAAUGGACGAAAGUCUGAUGGAGCAACGCCGCGUGAGUGAAGAAGGUUUUCGGAUCGUAAAACUCUGUUGUAAGGGAAGAACACGUACGAGAGUAACUGCUCGUACCUUGACGGUACCUUAUUAGAAAGCCACGGCUAACUACGUG